GACGAACGCUGGCGGCGUGCUUAACACAUGCAAGUCGAGCGGUAAGGCCCUUUCGGGGGUACACGAGCGGCGAACGGGUGAGUAACACGUGGGUGACCUGCCCUCAGCUCUGGGAUAAGCCUGGGAAACCGGGUCUAAUACCGGAUAUGACUCCAUGACGCAUGUUGUGGGGUGAAAGCCUUGUGCGGCUGAGGAUGGGCCCGCGGCCCAUCAGCUUGUUGGUGGGGUGAUGGCCUACCAAGGCGACGACGGGUAGCCGGCCUGAGAGGGCGACCGGCCACACUGGGACUGAGACACGGCCCAGACUCCUACGGGAGGCAGCAGUGGGGAAUCUUGCGCAAUGGGCGAAAGCCUGACGCAGCGACGCCGCGUGAGGGAUGACGGCCU
This 387-nucleotide ribosomal RNA is filed under the name uncultured bacterium. Its description in RNAcentral is "bacterial SSU rRNA". It matches the Rfam family "Bacterial small subunit ribosomal RNA", at positions 28 to 417 of the family's 1533-position model. The record is from RNAcentral.